RNAcentral lists this non-coding RNA (86 nucleotides) under Chromera velia. The record is from RNAcentral. Lineage: Eukaryota; Chromeraceae.
CUGAAAAGGAAAGAGAAGAAGAAGAAAAAAAAAACAGAGAGAAGAAAACUAUACAGUCUGUCUGACAGUAUCUGUUUGUCUGUUUC